Molecule: ribosomal RNA, 492 nt
Filed under: uncultured bacterium
Lineage: Bacteria
Description: partial 16S ribosomal RNA
Rfam family: Bacterial small subunit ribosomal RNA
Source: RNAcentral
AUUGAACGCUGGCGGCAUGCUUUACACAUGCAAGUCGAACGGUAACAGGCCUUCGGGUGCUGACGAGUGGCGAACGGGUGAGUAAUGCAUCGGAACGUACCCAGAGGUGGGGGAUAACGCAGCGAAAGCUGUGCUAAUACCGCAUGUGAUCUGAGGAUGAAAGCGGGGGACCUAGCAGCAAUGUUUGGCCUCGCGCCUUUGGAGCGGCCGAUGUCGGAUUAGCUAGUUGGUGGGGUAAAGGCCUACCAAGGCGACGAUCCGUAGCUGGUCUGAGAGGACGACCAGCCACACUGGGACUGAGACACGGCCCAGACUCCUACGGGAGGCAGCAGUGGGGAAUUUUGGACAAUGGGCGCAAGCCUGAUCCAGCAAUGCCGCGUGCGGGAAGAAGGCCUUCGGGUUGUAAACCGCUUUUGGCAGGAACGAAACGGUGUCCGCUAAUACCGGGCGCUAAUGACGGUACCUGCAGAAUAAGCACCGGCUAACUACGUG